Podarcis lilfordi (Lilford's wall lizard) is the source of this 84-nucleotide non-coding RNA. NCBI's taxonomy places the organism in Eukaryota, Metazoa, Chordata, Lepidosauria, Squamata, Lacertidae. The record is from the annotation of a GenBank genome assembly.
GGAAGGGCCAUAGCUCAGUGGUAGAGCAUCUGUCUUGCAUGCAGGAAGUCCCAGGUUCAAAUCCCAUCAUCUCGGGGAUUUCCG